GAACAACUUCCUCCUGGUAUAUUGGGGCCAAUAAAAAACAAGCCUAUCAUGCUGGAAAGUGGCUCUUUGCUAUGUGGAUCAUCAGUGGAGAGUUGGAACUCUUGGGGAGCAUGGAUGGAGAUGACUACUGAUUCAGGUAGGACGUGGAGAAAGUAUGGUCCAAUAUAUAUCGAGAAUAACCCUCUUAGUGUGAUUCAACCCGUUCCUUAUCAGACUGCAAAUGGGACAUUGCGUAUUCUUCUAAGAUCAUUCGCUGGCAUCAAUAAAAUCUGCAUGUCGGAGUCCCGUGAUGGUGGUUAUACUUGGAGUUAUGCAAAGCCUACUGAAUUGCCCAAUCCUAACUCAGGGAUUGAUGGGGUUAAGCUGAAAGAUGGACGUCUUUUGCUUGCAUACAAUACCAUUUCUAGGGGUGUGCUCAAGGUAGCACUCUCAGAAGAUGAUGGAGACUCGUGGCAUGAUGUUGUCACACUUGAGGAACCUGUAGGCGAGUUCUCUUAUCCGGCUGUUAUCCAAGCUAGCGAUGGAUUAGUUCACAUAACUUAUACAUACAACAGAACACAAAUUAAGCAUGUAGCCUUUCAACCCAACUAAUGGAGUACAGCAACAUGAGAGAUAAAGAAGGGGAUCCUUAUAUUAAGUUAGAAGUUAGUUCUCUUCAGCAGAGGAUGAUCACGUAGACUGUGAUAAGCUAUGUAACCAAUAGAGGUGUGUUUUUAAGUAUCGUCCAUGCAAGAGAUUGUUCUUUGUGUUUGCUGUUGUACCUUCAUUUCCACGGAAAAGGACUGUGUUGUUCACGCUUCACACUAUCCUUAGGGGGGAACUAGCUUGUUCUUCACGCUACUUGAAAUCAUCGAUAGUUAUCCAUGAUUUUGCUUUGGAUUUUGAUUGAAGAGACAUCUAAGUUUCUUAUGCUAGUUUGCUUAGGCCAAGUUUAAGUGACUGUUAAUGA
RNAcentral lists this unclassified non-coding RNA (949 nucleotides) under Hevea brasiliensis (rubber tree). The record is from RNAcentral. Lineage: Eukaryota; Viridiplantae; Streptophyta; Magnoliopsida; Malpighiales; Euphorbiaceae.